This 497-nucleotide ribosomal RNA is filed under the name uncultured bacterium. Its description in RNAcentral is "partial 16S ribosomal RNA". It matches the Rfam family "Bacterial small subunit ribosomal RNA", at positions 28 to 507 of the family's 1533-position model. The record is from RNAcentral.
GAUGAACGCUGGCGGCGUGCCUAAUACAUGCAAGUCGAGCGAACAGACGAUGAGCUUGCUCCUCUGACGUUAGCGUCGGACGGGUGAGUAACACGGUGAUAACCUACCUAUAAGACUGGGAUAACUUCGUGACACCGGAGCUAGUACCGGAUAAUAUCUUGAUCCUCAUGAUUCCAUAGUGAUAGAUUGAUUUGCUCUAUCUUAUCGAUAGAUCCGCGCCGAAUUAUCUAUUGGGUAAGGUAACGGGUUACGAAGGAACUGAUCCUUAGCCGACCGGAGAGGGGGAUCGGCCACACGGGAACUGGGACACGCCCCGGACUCUUACGGGAGGAAGAGGUAGGGAAUCUUGCGCAAUGGGCGAAGGCCUGACGGGGCACCGCCGCGUGAUUGAUGAAGGUCUUCGGAUCGUAAAACUCUGUUAUUAGGGAAGAACAAAUGUGUAGGUAACUAUGCACGUCGUGACGGUACCUAAUCAGAAAGCCACGGCUAACUACGUG